AGUGUACUCCCAUUGCCCAUGAAUUCCUUAAUCUGCCUACUAAUGGAUUUCCUUGUCCUGCACUGGCAUCAUUCCAGUGAGAAACUGUGAGGACGAGGAAAAUGACUGGAAAAGGUUUCAGAGAUGGCGUGAACUCUACGGGAAUUAUUAAGGAGGACACUAAAGAAUACCAGUAGCAUUUAGUAUGCGUACCAGAAAAGAACUCGGACACUGUAGUACAUAAGAACUGUUAAUACAUGUUUUUCUAAGUA
Long non-coding RNA from Pseudopipra pipra, 251 nucleotides. RefSeq lists it as uncharacterized. Lineage: Eukaryota; Metazoa; Chordata; Aves; Passeriformes; Pipridae. The record is from RefSeq and is a predicted model, not a curated record. The transcript is spliced from 2 exons.